AUCUAUGGCCAUACCGUCCUGAAUGUGCCCGAACUCAUGUAAUCUCAGAAACUAAGCAGCACUGGGCCUAAUUAGUAGUUGAAUGGGAGACAAGUGGUAGGAUAUUUUUUGGAAGGCUGAAUA
RNAcentral lists this ribosomal RNA (123 nucleotides) under Chinchilla lanigera (long-tailed chinchilla). The record is from RNAcentral. Lineage: Eukaryota; Metazoa; Chordata; Mammalia; Rodentia; Chinchillidae.